RNAcentral lists this unclassified non-coding RNA (409 nucleotides) under Hevea brasiliensis (rubber tree). Lineage: Eukaryota; Viridiplantae; Streptophyta; Magnoliopsida; Malpighiales; Euphorbiaceae. The record is from RNAcentral.
AAACUUCCAAAAUAAAAUAAAAUACUUCCUAAAUAAUAAUAAAAAACCUAGAUGAUAAAACUUUCUACAACAAUAACAACUAAAACUAAGUCUUAAUCCUAAACUAAUUCAGUUGGCUGUAUGGAUCCAUUUUUGCUAUUCAACUCUGUUAGACACCACGUCUACAUCAAUAUCCAAAACUCGUAAAUUUUUUAUACUACUUCCCUCCACCUCAUCUUAGGCCUCCUUUUUCCCCUUCUCACUCUUUUCCUUACUAACUUAUCACACUUUCAUACAAGGGUAUUUGAUUCUCUGAGUCGUACAUGACCAAACCAUCUAGAGAAUAUAGAAUUUUACAUUGGUCAUCAACCUAUAGCAACUCUCCUCCUCCUUUAACAAUAAUCUAAAUUUCCUAAUUUUACAAUGAACA